Molecule: ribosomal RNA, 39 nt
Filed under: Rhizoplaca chrysoleuca
Lineage: Eukaryota; Fungi; Ascomycota; Lecanoromycetes; Lecanorales; Lecanoraceae
Description: partial 26S ribosomal RNA
Source: RNAcentral
UUGACCUCGGAUCAGGUAGGGAUACCCGCUGAACUAGCA